GUGAAUCAUCAAAUUUUUGAACGCAAAUUGCACUCUCUGGUAUUCCGGAGGGUAUGUCUAUUUAAGGUUCAUUGGAUAUAAUAUAAAUUGCGAGAUCUCUCGGAAUUUAAAAUGGGUUGUCCGUUUUUGGUUGUCUCCUAAAAUCCAAGACAAGCUCAGUUUCUUGGGUUGCGUGAGACUUUCAGUUACCUCGUGACUUAACCAGGAAUCAUCGGGCUUGUUAUGAAUUUUGCUAGAGAUAAUAAAUUCCAUAGAUUUAUACGCUGCGCAAUAGAAAUCGAGUCAU
This 286-nucleotide unclassified non-coding RNA is filed under the name Ambisporaceae sp. RNAcentral describes it as "partial internal transcribed spacer 2". The stretch from base 1 to 71 matches the Rfam family "5.8S ribosomal RNA", at positions 84 to 154 of the family's 154-position model. Lineage: Eukaryota; Fungi; Glomeromycota; Glomeromycetes; Archaeosporales; Ambisporaceae. The record is from RNAcentral.